GCCAGAAGCUCCAGGGCGACGUGGACAUUUUGCCACUUCUAAUGGUAGCCGGGAGAGCGACUUAAGUCGCUCGCUGAUAAGUGUGUGUAUAAUUGCUCAGAUAACUCUCAGAGAUGGGGGGUAAAACGGGGCUUCCAAGUGGGGUCUUUUGGAGAUUUUACCACCCACCCACCGCUACCUCCCUUUGCCGUCGUAGCUGCGACCUCCCCGCGGAUUAUGUAAUGGAAGAAAGCGGUUCAACGCGAGUCUUGUUUUGCAACUUGUUGUGAUACUCAUACAGUUAGCGGUCAGUGAUACAUACAGUUGCAUAGUUGGUAAUUGUGGUGAAACCCGUAAACAACAAAAAUACCUGAUCGCAAACUCGCGUGCGGCUGUCUAGGGAAUAGGGGAAGAUGGAGCCACUUCUAAUACAGUUUUCGAAUAAUGAUUUUUGGUAAUACCAAAUAUAUUUUUUUUAUUUUUUAUCUUUUUCAUGACAAUAUAAUUAUUCUCCCGAAUGUACUUGUUCCUCAGAAAGGCAGAAAAUCCUCCAGAAUUCUAAAGAUAUUUUGUUUUACCCAAUUGUCUUACCACUUUCCACUAUAUUUUAGUAGUUUUCAAUUCAAUUCAAUUUGUGUUUUUAUUAGAAUUUAGCAGUUCUGUUCCAGGUGCUACAUUUGCCAUUCAGAGAUUUGGAGAACCUUUGAGCUGCGAUCAUUUCAUAAGCCUUUGCAGGGAGGGUACAUAUUUUUACGUUUAGGAUUUUAGAGAAAA
This is a long non-coding RNA of Culex quinquefasciatus (southern house mosquito), 753 nucleotides long. RefSeq lists it as uncharacterized. The record is from RefSeq and is a predicted model, not a curated record. NCBI's taxonomy places the organism in Eukaryota, Metazoa, Arthropoda, Insecta, Diptera, Culicidae. The transcript has 2 exons.